CACGGAUCGGGAAAAGAUGCAGCACUGGCUCUGGUAUCUGCCGUCCUUGUCCUGUGAAUGCAGUCAUCUCAUAAAUGCCUGUCUGCAUCCCGAUCCCAGCGAGAGGAUACAACUGGAGCAGAUCCUCCUCCACGACUGGUUUACGAUCUCACCAUCAGACAUGGAGGAUGAGCGCCCGGUCCUGGUCAUGCAGGAAGAGCUGAUUAGCCAGGCAUGCUAACACCAGUGGCCUCACCACCUCUCCAGUCCUUUGCUUCUUGCUAGUGUCUGGUGUCAGAGCUUGCGGCAGCAAUAUU
Non-coding RNA from Danio rerio (zebrafish), 296 nucleotides. NCBI's taxonomy places the organism in Eukaryota, Metazoa, Chordata, Actinopteri, Cypriniformes, Danionidae. The record is from RefSeq and is a predicted model, not a curated record.